This 492-nucleotide ribosomal RNA is filed under the name uncultured bacterium. RNAcentral describes it as "partial 16S ribosomal RNA". It matches the Rfam family "Bacterial small subunit ribosomal RNA", at positions 29 to 507 of the family's 1533-position model. The record is from RNAcentral.
AGUGAACGCUGGCGGUAGGCCUAACACAUGCAAGUCGAACGGCAGCACAGUAAGAGCUUGCUCUUACGGGUGGCGAGUGGCGGACGGGUGAGGAAUACAUCGUAAUCUACUUUUUCGUGGGGGAUAACGUAGGGAAACUUACGCUAAUACCGCAUACGACCUACGGUUGAAAGCAGGGGAACUUCGGACCUUGCGCGAUUGAAUGAGCCGAUGUCGGAUUAGCUAGUUGGCGGGGUAAAUGCCCACCAAGGCGACGAUCCGUAGCUGGUCUGAGAGGAUGAUCAGCCACACUGGAACUGAGACACGGUCCAGACUCCUACGGGAGGCAGCAGUGGGGUAUAUUAGACAAUGGGCGCAAGCCUGAUCCAGCCAUACCGCGUGGGUGAAGAAGGCCUUCGGGUUGUAAAGCCCUUUUGUUGGGAAAGAAAAGCAGCAGGUUAAUACCCCGCUGUUCUGACGGUACCCAAAGAAUAAGCACCGGCUAACUUCGUG